This 496-nucleotide ribosomal RNA is filed under the name uncultured bacterium. RNAcentral describes it as "partial 16S ribosomal RNA". It matches the Rfam family "Bacterial small subunit ribosomal RNA", at positions 28 to 506 of the family's 1533-position model. The record is from RNAcentral.
GAUGAACGCUGGCGGCGUGCCUAAUACAUGCAAGUCGAGCGAACAGACGAGGAGCUUGCUCCUCUGACGUUAGCGGCGGACGGGUGAGUAACACGUGGAUAACCUACCUAUAAGACUGGGAUAACUUCGGGAAACCGGAGCUAAUACCGGAUAACAUGUUGAACCGCAUGGUUCAACAGGUAAAGACGGUCUUGCUGUCACUUAUAGAUGGAUCCGCGCCGCAUUAGCUAGUUGGUAAGGUAACGGCUUACCAAGGCAACGAUGCGUAGCCGACCUGAGAGGGGAAUCGGCCACACGGGACCUGAGACACGGUCCAGACUCCUACGGGAGGCAGAAGUAGGGAAACUGCCGCAAUGGGCGAAAGCCUGACGGAGCAACGCCGCGUGAGUGAAGAAGGUCUUCGGAUCGUAAAACUCUGUUAUUAGGGAAGAACAAAUGUGUAAGUAACUAUGCACGUCUGGACGGUACCUAAUCAGAAAGCCACGGCUAACUACGU